This 1662-nucleotide non-coding RNA is filed under the name Peltula umbilicata. RNAcentral describes it as "LSU rRNA". It matches the Rfam family "Eukaryotic large subunit ribosomal RNA", at positions 103 to 1357 of the family's 3401-position model. The record is from RNAcentral. Lineage: Eukaryota; Fungi; Ascomycota; Lichinomycetes; Lichinales; Phylliscaceae.
AACAGCUCAGAUUUGGAAUCUGGCUCCGUGAUGGGGUCCGAGUUGUAGUCUGCAGAGGAUGCUUCGGGGGACGAGCGGGUCCAAGUUCCUUGGAAGAGGGUGUCAGAGAGGGUGAGAGCCCCGUCUGUGGCCCGGCUCUGCCGCCCGUGCGAAGCUCCCUCGACGAGUCGAGUUGUUUGGGAAUGCAGCUCAAACCGGGUGGUAAAUCUCAUCUAAAGCUAAAUAUCCGCCGGAGACCGAUAGCGCACAAGUAGAGUGAUCGAAAGAUGAAAAGCACUUUGAAAAGAGAGUUAAACAGCACGUAAAAUUGUUGAAAGGGAAGCGCUCGCGAUCAGACCUGCCUGUGGCCCCUCAGCCGACGGUGAAUGCCGUUGGCCCACUGGGCCGUGGGUAGGCCAGCAUCGAUUUGGGUGGCGGAAGAAGGACCUUGGGAAUGUGGCUCCCUUCGGGGUGCGUUAUAGUCCAAGGUGCGAUGCCGUCCCCUGGAUCGAGGCCUGCGCUCCGGCAAGGAUGCUGGCGUAAUGGUCGCCAGCGACCCGUCUUGAAACACGGACCAAGGAGUCUAACAUCCACGCGAGUGUUUGGGUGUCAAACCCCGACGCGCAAUGAAAGUGAACGGAGGUGGGAACCCGCUCGGGUGCACCAUCGACCGAUCCUGAUGUCUUCGGAUGGAUUUGAGUACGAGCGUGGCUGUUGGGACCCGAAAGAUGGUGAACUAUGCCUGAAUAGGGUGAAGCCAGAGGAAACUCUGGUGGAGGCUCGCAGCGGUUCUGACGUGCAAAUCGAUCGUCAAAUUUGGGUAUAGGGGCGAAAGACUAAUCGAACCAUCGCUGCUAGGUGGUCGGAAGGUGGGGCUGCAUGCCCUGUCUAGUUCCCUGCCUACGGGGGCGAUGCUGCCAAAUUGCGGGGACACCCUGAGAGCUCGGAUGACCGUGGGUCGAUCGUGAGGUCGACGUGCACCGGGGUGAGAGCCCCGGGUGUGGUGAGAGGGUCCGAGAUUGGGCGAUCCGCAGCCAAGCCCCGAGCGUCCUUGGGACGCCGGGGAGAGGUUCACAGACUAGACGGCAGUGGGUGCGACCCGUCGAGGUCGGCCUAAGGUAUAGUCGGACCGCCGGGAGACCGGUCGGGGAGGUGGUGGGUCCCGCGGCCGUGGGCAUACCCUGACGUGCUUGCGCUGGGAGGGCCAUCGGGACCCGGCCUCGCCGGGGGUUCAAGCCACCGAAGGGGGUGGUCGUGCCUGGAGGAGUCGCUAGUAGCUGGUUCCUGCCGAAGUUUCCCUCAGGAUAGCAGUAACGCGUGGCAGUUUUAUGAGGUAAAGCGAAUGAUUAGAGGCCUUGGGGUUGAAACAACCUUAACCUAUUCUCAAACUUUGAAUAUGUAAGAAGUCCUUGUUGCUUGGUUGAACGCGGACAUUCGAAUGUACCGUUACUAGUGGGCCAUUUUUGGUAAGCAGAACUGGCGAUGCGGGAUGAACCGAACGCGGGGUUAAGGUGCCGGAAUGCACGCUCAUCAGACACCACAAAAGGUGUUGGUUCAUCUAGACAGCAGGACGGUGGCCAUGGAAGUCGGAACCCGCUAAGGAGUGUGUAACAACUCACCUGCCGAAUGAACUAGCCCUGAAAAUGGAUGGCGCUCAAGCGUGCUACCCAUACCCCGCCGCCA